Molecule: ribosomal RNA, 616 nt
Filed under: uncultured bacterium
Lineage: Bacteria
Description: bacterial SSU rRNA
Rfam family: Bacterial small subunit ribosomal RNA
Source: RNAcentral
GGGAAGAGGGGGGGGGGGCGGUGAGAGUGAGGCACGGAGCGGGGGAUAGUGGAACAAAGGGGGCAAGCCUGAAGAAGAGCAGUGAGGGGUGACUGGGGACCGUUUUCCCGAUGUAACGAUCUGUCGACCGGAAAAGAAGUGCAUGCUGGUUAAUAUCCAUCAUGCUUGACGGUACCGCUAAAGGAAGCACCGGGUAACUCCGUGCCAGCAGCCGCGGUAAUACGGGGGGUGCAAGCGUUGUUCGGAAUCAUUGGGCGUAAAGCGCGUGUAGGCGGCUGGACAAGUCAGAUGUGAAAGCCCUGGGCUUAACCCAGGAAGUGCAUUUGAAACUGUUCAGCUAGAGUAAGGGAGAGGAAAGUGGAAUUCCUGGUGUAGAGGUGAAAUUCGUAGAUAUCAGGAGGAACACCGGUGGCGAAGGCGACUUUCUGGCCCUAUACUGACGCUGAGACGCGAAAGCGUGGGUAGCAAACAGGAUUAGAUACCCUGGUAGUCCACGCUGUAAACGAUGUUCACUAGGUGUUGGGGGUAUUGACCCUUCCAGUGCCGCAGCUAACGCAUUAAGUGAACCGCCUGGGGAGUACGGUCGCAAGAUUAAAACUCGAAGGAAUUGACGGGG